RNAcentral lists this transfer RNA (77 nucleotides) under Acidobacteriota bacterium. RNAcentral's name for it is "Acidobacteria bacterium tRNA-Arg". It matches the Rfam family "tRNA". From Rfam's summary of the family: Transfer RNA (tRNA) molecules are approximately 80 nucleotides in length. Their secondary structure includes four short double-helical elements and three loops (D, anti-codon, and T loops). The record is from RNAcentral. Lineage: Bacteria; Pseudomonadati; Acidobacteriota. RNAcentral also lists the same sequence under 3 other names.
GGGGCUGUAGCUCAGAUGGAUAGAGCAUUGGUUUCCUAAACCAAGUGUCGGGAGUUCGAAUCUCCCCAGCCCCACCA